ACACCACAAACUGUAGAAUGACGUGAUAGUGAUUUCAGUGA
RNAcentral lists this non-coding RNA (41 nucleotides) under Trypanosoma brucei brucei. Lineage: Eukaryota; Euglenozoa; Kinetoplastea; Trypanosomatida; Trypanosomatidae. The record is from RNAcentral.